Molecule: ribosomal RNA, 266 nt
Filed under: uncultured bacterium
Lineage: Bacteria
Description: partial 16S ribosomal RNA
Rfam family: Bacterial small subunit ribosomal RNA
Source: RNAcentral
CGACCGGCGCACGGGUGAGUAACACGUAUGGAACCUGCCCUAUGCAGGGGGAUAAGCGGAAGAAAUUCCGUCUAAUACCGCAUAACACCUUUAGGAGACAUCUUCUUGGGGUCAAAGGAGGCGACUCCGGCAUAGGAUGGCCAUGCGUCGCAUUAGCUAGUCGGCGGGGUAACGGCCCACCGAGGCGACGAUGCGUAGGGGUUCUGAGAGGAAGGUCCCCCACACUGGUACUGAGACACGGACCAGACUCCUACGGGAGGCAGCAG